CUUCUGCUUAUCACCAUUGCAGUGUGUAGUAUUGCCUGUCGCUUUCGAAGGUCUGGUCAGAAAUCACAGACAAGCAAGAAAAAAAACGAUUCUUCUGCUAGUGUAGGCAAGGGCAGUCGAAAGUAAUCAGGAGCAAUUACAUCUUUGUGCACCAAAAAGGUCAGAAGAGCAUUUUGCCAACUGCUGAGGUAGCGUUUCAUAAUUUCCAGCUCCGUGGGAGUCAUCAAAAGACUUCUUAUAUCC
Molecule: long non-coding RNA, 243 nt
Organism: Alligator sinensis (Chinese alligator)
Lineage: Eukaryota; Metazoa; Chordata; Crocodylia; Alligatoridae
Exons: 3
Source: RefSeq, a predicted model, not a curated record